Molecule: ribosomal RNA, 449 nt
Filed under: uncultured bacterium
Lineage: Bacteria
Description: bacterial SSU rRNA
Rfam family: Bacterial small subunit ribosomal RNA
Source: RNAcentral
GAUGAACGCUGGCGGCGUGCCUAACACAUGCAAGUCGAGCGAUCUUCUUCGGAAGAGAGCGGCGGACGGGUGAGUAACGCGUGGGUAACCUGCCCUGUACACGCGGAUAACAUACCGAAAGGUAUGCUAAUACGAGAUAAUGUGCUUUUAUCGCAUGGUAGAAGUAUCAAAGCUUUUGCGGUACAGGAUGGACCCGCGUCUGAUUAGCUAGUUGGUGAGGUAACGGCUCACCAAGGCGACGAUCAGUAGCCGACCUGAGAGGGUGAUCGGCCACAUUGGAACUGAGACACGGUCCAAACUCCUACGGGAGGCAGCAGUGGGGAAUAUUGCACAAUGGGCGAAAGCCUGAUGCAGCAACGCCGCGUGAGCGAUGAAGGCCUUCGGGUCGUAAAGCUCUGUCCUCAAGGAAGAUAAUGACGGUACUUGAGGAGGAAGCCCCGGCUAACUAC